Long non-coding RNA from Pomacea canaliculata, 2480 nucleotides. RefSeq lists it as uncharacterized. Lineage: Eukaryota; Metazoa; Mollusca; Gastropoda; Architaenioglossa; Ampullariidae. The record is from RefSeq and is a predicted model, not a curated record. The transcript is spliced from 2 exons.
CGGACAGAGGCACGUUGAUGACGUCAAAAAGACAGAAAUGUUGAUGACAUUAAACAACAGCCAGACACACAAGUUGAUGACGUCAAACAACAGACAAUACGUCUUCUAAUGAGGAACAGCAAUCGUAUUGUAGUGACGUAGGGCUUGCCGUGGUCGUGACGUAGCACUUGCUAGGGUCGUGACGUAGCACUUGCUAUAGUAGGGUAGGCGGAAUGUGUCGGUCUUGAGCCGUGCGGCAGCCACAGAGCCGCGAUGCGUAUUCAGGGGAGGUAAUUGUCUUGUAGGUGGAGGGUAACGGGCGGCAAGAUGAAAGCUGCAUGCUCAGCUCUAGACACAGCGGACCACUUACACCUCUCUGCCCUUAUAGCCACUAAAUACAAUGAACCACUUACAACUCUGGUACUACGACGACAGACAACUAUGGCAUGACACUCGUCACGAUGACUGUCAUGAUCGUUACGACUGCUGUAACACUCACCCUGACUAUUGUAACGCUCAGUAACAUUCCUGUAACAAUCAGUCGCAAGUCCCACAACAUCGCUGACACAGGUUAUACACGUGCUGUCAGUGACACAGGUUAUACACGUGCUGUCACUGACACAGGUUAUACACGUGCUGUCACUGACACAGGUUAUACACGUGCUGUCAGUGACACAGGUUAUACACGUGCUGUCACUGACACAGGUUAUACACGUGCUGUCACUGACACAGGUUAUACACGUGCUGUCACUGACACAGGUUAUACACGUGCUGUCACUGACACAGGUUAUACACGUGCUGUCACUGACACAGGUUAUACACGUGCUGUCACUGACACAGGCUAUACACGUGCUGUCACUGACACAGGUUAUACACGUGCUGUCACUGACACAGGUUAUACACAGACUACCGCUAUUGCCGGUAUCGCUGCUAAAUAUCGACGCUCAGCCUUUUGCCUCAUUUUGUGUAAUCAUGUAGCACAGAUCCCGUCAGCUGUGACACGCAUGCUAGACAGCUGUGACACGAAUGCUAGACAAUCUGUACAGCCCUGACGUCAAAAGUCUGGAAGACGUCCAUCGUCAUUGAGUGGUUGGCAUGACAACAGGCCUGGGACAUGACAUGAAGCAGAGAGUGGGCAGCCUCAUACCCUCUCAACCCUCCACCUGCACUGGGCCUCACCAACAGCACCGCUCAUCCAAACGGUGUGAGCCACGACGUCAGCAACACUAGGCCACGACGUCAACAACACUAGGCCACGACGUCAACAACACUGGGCCACGACGUCAGCAACAUUAGGCCACGACGUCAGCAACAUUAGGCCACGAGGUCAGCAACAUUGGGCCACGACGUCAGCAACACUGGGCCACGACGUCAACAACACUGGGCCACGACGUCAACAACACUGGGCCACGACGUCAACAACACUGGGCCACGACGUCAACAACACUGGGCCACGACGUCAGCAACAUUGGGCCACGAGGUCAGCAACAUUGGGCCACGACGUCAACAACACUGGGCCACGACGUCAACAACACUCGGCCACGACGUCAGCAACAUUAGGCCACGACGUCAGCAACAUUGGGCCACGACGUCAGCAACAUUGGGCCACGAGGAUUUGUAAAGAUGCCGUUCAGCUUCAUCUGACUUCAGCGUCCGUUGCCCGCUGCUGUGUGAGUCACUUUCACUCGUUUGGGGAAAAGACGCUUUUCUCGGCUGCCAGGUCAGGCAAGACUUUCUGUGGAAUUUCCUCAGGACUGCUGCAGGCCGUUUGAAUUGGCGCUGAAGCAGACGUGACCCACGCCGAUGUGAGACCAGUGUCACUCAAGCAUCUGCUUCCCUUCCGGAAGUCCACAGCCUCAUCCUCGCUACAGGAUCUGACGGCGGGACAACGCAGGUCAGGCGUGCGGCCAACGUUGCUGCCUGUCGUCUGCAAUGACAAUACAGCGCAUCACGUGAUUUUGAGAAACAAGUUCAUCCUCCACCAAAUCUGUUGGGCAGGAACAACCAUGCAGCAGGCAACACACUCAGCCCCUGGAGCCCUGGACACUUGGCGAGGGCAGGUCACAAGGUCACUGCCAGAUGCUCACCAGUGUACCCCAGGAUGCUUAGUUGUCUGUUGUCUGUUGUCAGACCCCAACACCCGCUGUACCCCAGGAUGCUUGGUUGUCUGUUGUCUGCUGUCUGUUGUCAGACCCCAACACCCGCUGUACCCCAGGAUGCUUAGUUGUCUGUUGUCUGUUGUCUGCUGUCAGACCCCAUCACCCGCUGUACCCCAGGAUUCUUGGUUGUCUGUUGUCUGCUGUCUGUUGUCAGACCCCAACACCCGCUGUACCCCAGGAUUCUUGGUUGUCUGUUGUCUGCUGUCUGUUGUCAGACCCCAACACCCGCUGUACCCCAGGAUGCUUGGUUGUCUGUUGUCAGGCCCCAACACCCGCGGGUGUCACACCAUCGUAACGACCCACAACAAACAAUCGCCAGCUUUAAUAAAAGCAGAGAACUGA